GAAUUUGCAACUAUUUGUAUCUAUUUAGUGAUCAGUCCUCCGCUAGUUUCUUUGAUUCCACUCGGUGUUCCUUUUCCAUUUGCUUCCAAUAGUUUGACCUAUCCGGAAAAAUUGUCAGCCUACGAAUGUGGUUCCGAUCCCUCCGGUGAUGCCAGAAGUCAUUUUGAUAUACUAUUUUAAUCGGUUCAAUGGAUUUUCUUGAGGCACUCCCCAAGUUUGAUGGUUGUAGCUCAAUACUUGUGUUCGUGGACAGUUUAA
RNAcentral lists this ribosomal RNA (258 nucleotides) under Triticum aestivum (bread wheat). RNAcentral describes it as "partial small subunit ribosomal RNA". Lineage: Eukaryota; Viridiplantae; Streptophyta; Magnoliopsida; Poales; Poaceae. The record is from RNAcentral.